This 2543-nucleotide ribosomal RNA is filed under the name Listeria monocytogenes. RNAcentral's name for it is "partial 23S ribosomal RNA". It matches the Rfam family "Bacterial large subunit ribosomal RNA", at positions 322 to 2861 of the family's 2925-position model. Lineage: Bacteria; Bacillati; Bacillota; Bacilli; Caryophanales; Listeriaceae. The record is from RNAcentral.
GAAAGUUAUAAAUGAAGCGGUCUGGAAAGGCCCGCCAAAGACGGUAACAGCCCGGUAGUUGAAAUGGCUUUCCCUCCAGAGUGGAUCCUGAGUACGGCGGAACACGUGAAAUUCCGUCGGAAUCCGGGAGGACCAUCUCCCAAGGCUAAAUACUCCCUAGUGACCGAUAGUGAACCAGUACCGUGAGGGAAAGGUGAAAAGCACCCCGGAAGGGGAGUGAAACAGUUCCUGAAACCGUGUGCCUACAAGUAGUUAGAGCCCGUUAAUGGGUGAUAGCGUGCCUUUUGUAGAAUGAACCGGCGAGUUACGAUUUGUUGCAAGGUUAAGCGGAAAAAGCGGAGCCGUAGCGAAAGCGAGUCUGAAUAGGGCGCAUAAGUAACAGGUCGUAGACCCGAAACCAGGUGAUCUACCCAUGUCCAGGAUGAAGGUAAGGUAAUACUUACUGGAGGUCCGAACCCACGCACGUUGAAAAGUGCGGGGAUGAGGUGUGGGUAGCGGAGAAAUUCCAAUCGAACUUGGAGAUAGCUGGUUCUCUCCGAAAUAGCUUUAGGGCUAGCCUCGAGGUAAAGAGUCAUGGAGGUAGAGCACUGUUUGGACUAGGGGCCCUUCUCGGGUUACCGAAUUCAGAUAAACUCCGAAUGCCAUGUACUUAUACUCGGGAGUCAGACUGCGAGUGAUAAGAUCCGUAGUCGAAAGGGAAACAGCCCAGACCACCAGUUAAGGUCCCCAAAUAUAUGUUAAGUGGAAAAGGAUGUGGGGUUGCUUAGACAACCAGGAUGUUGGCUUAGAAGCAGCCACCAUUGAAAGAGUGCGUAAUAGCUCACUGGUCGAGUGACCCCGCGCCGAAAAUGUACCGGGGCUAAACAUAUUACCGAAACUGUGGAUGAACCUCUUUAGAGGUUCGUGGUAGGAGAGCGUUCUAAGGGCGGUGAAGUCAGACCGGAAGGACUGGUGGAGCGCUUAGAAGUGAGAAUGCCGGUAUGAGUAGCGAAAGAAGGGUGAGAAUCCCUUCCACCGAAUAUCUAAGGUUUCCUGAGGAAGGCUCGUCCGCUCAGGGUUAGUCGGGACCUAAGCCGAGGCCGAUAGGCGUAGGCGAUGGACAACAGGUAGAGAUUCCUGUACCAGUGCUAAUUGUUUAACCGAUGGGGUGACACAGAAGGAUAGGGAAUCGCACGAAUGGAAAUGUGCGUCCAAGCAGUGAGUGUGAGAAGUAGGCAAAUCCGCUUCUCGCGAAGCAUGAGCUGUGAUGGGGAAGGAAAUUAAGUACGGAAGUUCCUGAUUUCACGCUGUCAAGAAAAGCCUCUAGGAAGAGUAGUACUGCCCGUACCGCAAACCGACACAGGUAGAUGAGGAGAGAAUCCUAAGGUGAGCGAGAGAACUCUCGUUAAGGAACUCGGCAAAAUGACCCCGUAACUUCGGGAGAAGGGGUGCUCUAUUAGGGUGCAAGCCCGAGAGAGCCGCAGUGAAUAGGCCCAGGCGACUGUUUAGCAAAAACACAGGUCUCUGCAAAACCGUAAGGUGACGUAUAGGGGCUGACGCCUGCCCGGUGCUGGAAGGUUAAGAGGAGUGCUUAGCUUCGGCGAAGGUACGAAUUGAAGCCCCAGUAAACGGCGGCCGUAACUAUAACGGUCCUAAGGUAGCGAAAUUCCUUGUCGGGUAAGUUCCGACCCGCACGAAAGGCGCAACGAUCUGGGCACUGUCUCAACGAGAGACUCGGUGAAAUUAUAGUACCUGUGAAGAUGCAGGUUACCCGCGACAGGACGGAAAGACCCCGUGGAGCUUUACUGCAACCUGAUAUGGAAUGUUUGUACCGCUUGUACAGGAUAGGUAGGAGCCGAAGAGACGUGUGCGCUAGCAUACGAGGAGGCAAUGGUGGGAUACUACCCUGGCUGUAUGACCAUUCUAACCCGCCACGCUUAGCGCGUGGGGAGACAGUGUCAGGUGGGCAGUUUGACUGGGGCGGUCGCCUCCUAAAGAGUAACGGAGGCGCCCAAAGGUUCCCUCAGAAUGGAUGGAAAUCAUUCGCAGAGUGUAAAGGCACAAGGGAGCUUGACUGCGAGACUGACAAGUCGAGCAGGGACGAAAGUCGGGCUUAGUGAUCCGGUGGUUCCGCAUGGAAGGGCCAUCGCUCAACGGAUAAAAGCUACCCCGGGGAUAACAGGCUUAUCUCCCCCAAGAGUCCACAUCGACGGGGAGGUUUGGCACCUCGAUGUCGGCUCGUCGCAUCCUGGGGCUGUAGUCGGUCCCAAGGGUUGGGCUGUUCGCCCAUUAAAGCGGCACGCGAGCUGGGUUCAGAACGUCGUGAGACAGUUCGGUCCCUAUCCGUCGCGGGCGCAGGAAAUUUGAGAGGAGCUGUCCUUAGUACGAGAGGACCGGGAUGGACACACCGCUGGUGUACCAGUUGUUCCGCCAGGAGCAUCGCUGGGUAGCUAUGUGUGGCAGGGAUAAACGCUGAAAGCAUCUAAGCGUGAAGCCCCCCUCAAGAUGAGAUUUCCCAUUUCUUCGGAAAGUAAGAUCCCUGAAAGAUGAUCAGGUAGAUAGGU